RNAcentral lists this long non-coding RNA (973 nucleotides) under Homo sapiens (human). RNAcentral's name for it is "HSALNT0154207". Lineage: Eukaryota; Metazoa; Chordata; Mammalia; Primates; Hominidae. The record is from RNAcentral.
AUGGAAACAAUUUUAUUGGUAACAGAACCCUACUAACUCAUCAGAGCCCCACUAUUUUCUCCCGUGUACUUUCCUUCUCCUGGCAGCCUGUCCCCCUUCCCUGGGACCCCCUCCCAACUCAUUCCCGUGAACUUUCUGACUUGCUGCCUCUCUCCCUUCUGGGAAAAAGUGUCAGCUGCUGCACUAAUAAUCCAGCACAUGCUACGACUGUCCCUGAGACAGCUGUCUACUGCCCCUAGGCACUUGGGCAGGGGAUCUCCUUGGAGCCAGAAAGUUAAUAACUGGUCUUGAAGAUACAAACAAUGUCAUGGUCUAUGACUUUGUGACACGAUGCAAAGGAAAGCGUUUGGGCUUUGAGUCAGGCAGACCCAGAUUCAUACCUCAGCUCUUCUUAAUAUGUGUGUGACUUUGGGCAAAGUACUGCAUGUUUCUAGCCCUCAGCUUCCUCAUCUGUGAAAUGGAAAUCACAAUACAGAGAAUAUUGGGAAUAACAAAUGAGAAUAAAUAUAUUUAGCCCUCUGUAGAUGCUCAGUGACCGGGCUUCCUCUCCCACUAUCUCUUUGUCUUUCCAGAGUUGAAAGACCCAUAACAAGGAAUCAAAGGAGAGUGAAACGAUGACUAAAGGUUUAGAGGAUAAGAUCUAAGAAUGGAUGAAGGAGGCCGGGCGCAGUGGCUCACGCCUGUAAUCCCAGCACUUAGGCCUCACAAAGUGCUGGGAUUACAGGCAUGAGCCAACGCGUCCGGCAGAAUGGUAAAUGUUUAAUAUGGAAAAGGGAACAUUUAGUCUGGACAGAGAGGACAAUAAAUAAUUAUGGCUACCAUUUGUCACCACCUUUCCUGGCAUUUACUUAUUUAUUUAUUUAUUGAGAUGGAGUUUCGCUCUUGUUGCCCAGGCUGGAGUGCAAUGGCACAAUCUCGGCUCACCGCAACCUCCGCCUCCUGGGUUCAAGCGAUUCUCCCGCCUCAGGCUCCC